This 74-nucleotide transfer RNA is filed under the name Bathyarchaeum sp. (SeqCode). RNAcentral describes it as "Candidatus Bathyarchaeum sp. tRNA-Phe". It matches the Rfam family "tRNA". From Rfam's summary of the family: Transfer RNA (tRNA) molecules are approximately 80 nucleotides in length. Their secondary structure includes four short double-helical elements and three loops (D, anti-codon, and T loops). Further hydrogen bonds mediate the characteristic L-shaped molecular structure. tRNAs have two regions of fundamental functional importance: the anti-codon, which is responsible for specific mRNA codon recognition, and the 3' end, to which the tRNAs corresponding amino acid is attached (by aminoacyl-tRNA synthetases). tRNAs cope with the degeneracy of the genetic code in two manners: having more than one tRNA (with a specific anti-codon) for a particular amino acid; and 'wobble' base-pairing, i.e. permitting non-standard base-pairing at the 3rd anti-codon position. The record is from RNAcentral. Lineage: Archaea; Thermoproteati; Candidatus Bathyarchaeota; Bathyarchaeia (SeqCode); Bathyarchaeales (SeqCode); Bathyarchaeaceae (SeqCode).
GCCGAGGUAGCUCAGUUUGGGAGAGCACUCGGCUGAAGACCGAGUUGUCGCUGGUUCAAGUCCGGCCCUCGGCA